This 880-nucleotide ribosomal RNA is filed under the name Pseudomonas fluorescens. Its description in RNAcentral is "bacterial SSU rRNA". The record is from RNAcentral. Lineage: Bacteria; Pseudomonadati; Pseudomonadota; Gammaproteobacteria; Pseudomonadales; Pseudomonadaceae.
CUSCAGAGUUUGGAWUCAUGGCUCAGAUUGAACGCUGGCGGCAGGCCUAACACAUGCAAGUCGAGCGGUAGAGAGAAGCUUGCUUCUCUUGAGAGCGGCGGACGGGUGAGUAAUGCCUAGGAAUCUGCCUGGUAGUGGGGGAUAACGUUCGGAAACGGACGCUAAUACCGCAUACGUCCUACGGGAGAAAGCAGGGGACCUUCGGGCCUUGCGCUAUCAGAUGAGCCUAGGUCGGAUUAGCUAGUUGGUGAGGUAAUGGCUCACCAAGGCGACGAUCCGUAACUGGUCUGAGAGGAUGAUCAGUCACACUGGAACUGAGACACGGUCCAGACUCCUACGGGAGGCAGCAGUGGGGAAUAUUGGACAAUGGGCGAAAGCCUGAUCCAGCCAUGCCGCGUGUGUGAAGAAGGUCUUCGGAUUGUAAAGCACUUUAAGUUGGGAGGAAGGGUUGUAGAUUAAUACUCUGCAAUUUUGACGUUACCGACAGAAUAAGCACCGGCUAACUCUGUGCCAGCAGCCGCGGUAAUACAGAGGGUGCAAGCGUUAAUCGGAAUUACUGGGCGUAAAGCGCGCGUAGGUGGUUUGUUAAGUUGGAUGUGAAAUCCCCGGGCUCAACCUGGGAACUGCAUUCAAAACUGACUGACUAGAGUAUGGUAGAGGGUGGUGGAAUUUCCUGUGUAGCGGUGAAAUGCGUAGAUAUAGGAAGGAACACCAGUGGCGAAGGCGACCACCUGGACUAAUACUGACACUGAGGUGCGAAAGCGUGGGGAGCAAACAGGAUUAGAUACCCUGGUAGUCCACGCCGUAAACGAUGUCAACUAGCCGUUGGAAGCCUUGAGCUUUUAGUGGCGCAGCUAACGCAUUAAGUKGACCCSGSCCA